UGCGUAGGCGGGCUAAUAAGUCAGUGGUGAAAUCUCUCGGCUCAACCGGGAAACUGCCAUUGAUACUGUUAGUCUUGAGUUCGGUUGAGGUAGGCGGAAUGUGUAAUGUAGUGGUGAAAUGCUUAGAUAUUACACAGAACACCAAUUGCGUAGGCAGCUUACUAGACCGACACUGACGCUGAGGCACGAAAGCGUGGGGAGCGAACAGGAUUAGAUACCCUGGUAGUCC
Molecule: ribosomal RNA, 229 nt
Filed under: uncultured bacterium
Lineage: Bacteria
Description: partial 16S ribosomal RNA
Rfam family: Bacterial small subunit ribosomal RNA
Source: RNAcentral